CUCAGCGCCGCCGCCCCUUUGUUUUCCUCUCGCUCUUUUCCGAACCCUAUUCUCUUGCUGUUCCCAUUCCGAUCCCAGCCUCCUCUGAUCCUCCACUCCCAGUUUUGGCUGGCGAUCGGCAGGCUAUUGAGUCCUGCGACUGCAGUAGGCUGAGGCAGAUCGACACGAUUCUGAGCCGCAUAACCCUUUCGAUCCAAAAGCAAGCCUUGUGAACAAACUUUCCUACGGAAUGAGAUGUCCCAACUUAGCUAGAAGAAUUGAGGAUGAGUUUAACAUGAUUAUACUUAUCCAUGGAACUAUGGGAAGAAAGAAGAGAAAAAAAGUAUUAUACUCGUUUUGCAUGCAAGUUGGCAUGGGAGGAAUUGGAAAAAUAUUAUUCGAUCUGUUCCAGGAUUUUGUUCGACGGCGUCGUUGAUCUCCGGCGACGAUGUUGAUAUCCGACUGCGGAAGCGAGUGUCGGUAUGCCCAUCUCCUCUCUCGACCUCCCCCAUCUCCCCUUUCCCCUCUCUGGUUGCGUCUGGCCGAGUGGACGUUGCCAGGCAUGGGCGGCUGUUGCCAGGCGCGAUUGGUCGUGGCCUGGUCGAGUUUGGUCGUUGUUGCGUGGCUGAUCGAGUCUGGCCACCGUCGCGUGGCUGGCCGACUCUGGUCCGUGCCGCGUGGCUGGCCGACUCUGGUCCACGCCGCGUGGCUCGCCGCGUUUGGCUGCAGGUGGCCACGUUUGACUGCGGGGGGUGGCCAUGUUUGGCUACGGGUGGCCGCGUGGCCGGGCCUGGCAGCGGUUGGCCAAAUCUGGCCGUGGCCGGGUGUGGCCAUUGUUGCACACGUAGGGUGGCUACGACUGGCCACUGUGGUCGCGGCUGGACGCGGGGGAUGCGGCUGCCCAUGGUGGCAGUGGAUGGCCACGACUGCCCUUGGUAGCCGCGGCAACACGAGGUUUAUUAUUGUUUCAUUUUUUAUUUAAAAUUUGGAAGGUACUAUCUGAAUUCAUAAUGUUGUUUGUGUAUGUCUCAAUUUGUCGUGAUCUUAGUGUAGUUGAAGACAGCCGUAUUUGUUCUGUUCGAUAUUCCUAAGUUCAUUUAUAUAAAUUUACUUAUUUGUAUAUAAAGUUAAUUGUAAAUAAUUAUGUUAUAAUUGAUUAAU
This is a long non-coding RNA of Zingiber officinale, 1140 nucleotides long. RefSeq lists it as uncharacterized. The transcript has 3 exons. NCBI's taxonomy places the organism in Eukaryota, Viridiplantae, Streptophyta, Magnoliopsida, Zingiberales, Zingiberaceae. The record is from RefSeq and is a predicted model, not a curated record.